UGACAGUACUCCUACGGGGAGGCAGCAGUGGGGGAAUAUUGCACAAUGGGCGCAAGCCUGAUGCAGCCAUGCCGCGUGUGUGAAGAAGGACCUUCGGGGUUGUAAAGCACUUUCAGUCGUGAGGAAGGUAGUGUAGUUAAUAGCUGCAGUAUUUGACGUUAGCGACAGAAGAAGCACCGGCUAACUCCGUGCCAGCAGCCGCGGUAAUACGGAGGGUGCGAGCGUUAAUCGGAAUUACUGGGCGUAAAGCGCAUGCAGGUGGUUUGUUAAGUCAGAUGUGAAAGACCCGGGGCUCAACCUCGGAAUAGCAUUUGAAACUGGCAGACUAGAGUACUGUAGAGGGGGGUAGGAAUUUCAGGUGUAGCGGUGAAAUGCGUAGAGAUCUGAAGGAAUACCGGUGGCGAAGGCGGCCCCCUGGACAGAUACUGACACUCAGAUGCGAAAGCGUGGGGAGCAAACAGGAUUAGAUACCCUGGUAG
Molecule: ribosomal RNA, 479 nt
Filed under: uncultured bacterium
Lineage: Bacteria
Description: bacterial SSU rRNA
Rfam family: Bacterial small subunit ribosomal RNA
Source: RNAcentral